AACUCUAAUGCGUAUUCCUUAAGAAAUACACCGAGACAUAAGCGUUCCUUUCCUUCUGUUCCGUUCAAUACCCCCUUUACAAACACGUAACCUCUUUUACACUAGUCAGCUAAUACCAAAAUCUCAUUUGUAUAGUCCCAGUGUUAACCUCCCCUGCUAUUAGUCAAUGAAAAAGGAAGUGCUUUAGACACCCACUGUCUGUACGCUGUGAACAGAUGAAUUCAAGUUUUCACCUUCUCCCGACCGUCUGUCUGAAUCAAAGCAUUACACUUAGUUCCCGCCCUGUCUUCGUCAGAUAGUACAUCUGCUAAUGAAGCAUGUCCUAGAGCUAAGCUCGUUAAAAGUUCGGUUAUCUUGUGACCAUACUUGAUCGAGUAGUUCUCUAGCAGGAUUAUCCCCCUUGUCGUUGCAGCUGAUCGUAAGCAAAGUGUAGCAAGUUAUGUAAUAAAAUUUGUCAAGCAACUCCCAU
Biomphalaria pfeifferi is the source of this 469-nucleotide non-coding RNA. The record is from the annotation of a GenBank genome assembly. NCBI's taxonomy places the organism in Eukaryota, Metazoa, Mollusca, Gastropoda, Planorbidae.